GACGAACGCUGGCGGCGUGCCUAACACAUGCAAGUCGAGCGGGGUUGAAGCGAGGGGUAACUCGGACUUCUACCUAGCGGCGGACGGGUGAGUAACGCGUGGGCAACCUGCCUCAAGGUUUGGGAUAACAGCUCGAAAGGGCUGCUAAUACCGGAUAUGCCUGUGGCCUCGCAUGGGGCUAUGAGCAAAGGGGAAACCCGCCUUGAGAUGGGCCCGCGUCCCAUCAGCUAGUUGGUGAGGUGAAGGCUCACCAAGGCGACGACGGGUAGCCGGCCUGAGAGGGUGACCGGCCACACUGGGACUGAGACACGGCCCAGACUCCUACGGGGGGCAGCAGUGGGGGAUCUUGCACAAUGGGCGAAAGCCUGAUGCAGCGACGCCGCGUGAGCGAAGAAGGCCUUCGGUGUAAAGCUCUGUCUGGAGGGACGAAACGAAAUAGACGGUACCUCCGGAGGAAGCCACGGCUAACUACGUGCCAGCAGCCGCGGUAAACGUAGACGUG
This 502-nucleotide ribosomal RNA is filed under the name uncultured bacterium. RNAcentral's name for it is "bacterial SSU rRNA". It matches the Rfam family "Bacterial small subunit ribosomal RNA", at positions 28 to 533 of the family's 1533-position model. The record is from RNAcentral.